This 349-nucleotide ribosomal RNA is filed under the name uncultured Latescibacterota bacterium. RNAcentral describes it as "bacterial SSU rRNA". It matches the Rfam family "Bacterial small subunit ribosomal RNA", at positions 1034 to 1382 of the family's 1533-position model. The record is from RNAcentral. Lineage: Bacteria; Pseudomonadati; Candidatus Latescibacterota.
ACAGGUGCUGCAUGGCUGUCGUCAGCUCGUGUCGUGAGAUGUUGGGUUAAGUCCCGCAACGAGCGCAACCCUUAUCCCCAGUUGCCAUCAGGUUAAAGCUGGGAACUCUGGGGAGACUGCCGGUGAUAACCGGAGGAAGGCGGGGAUGACGUCAAGUCCUCAUGGCCCUUACAUCCCGGGCUACACACGUGCUACAAUGGCAGGUACAGAGGGCUGCGAAGCCGCGAGGUGGAGCGAAUCCCAGAAAACCUGUCUCAGUCCGGAUUGAAGUCUGCAACUCGACUUCAUGAAGGCGGAAUCGCUAGUAACCGCGGAUCAGCAUGCCACGGUGAAUACGUUCCCGGGCCUU